Mustela erminea (ermine) is the source of this 1294-nucleotide RNA transcript. RefSeq lists it as uncharacterized. Lineage: Eukaryota; Metazoa; Chordata; Mammalia; Carnivora; Mustelidae. The transcript is spliced from 4 exons. The record is from RefSeq and is a predicted model, not a curated record.
UAGGGCCCUAGCUCUUCAUUCAUUCAUUCAUUUAUCUAUCUAUCCACCCAUUUCUCCAUUCCUUAUAACUUCCCUUCUCCACUCUUCUUUCCAAUUCCUAUAGGCAACCAUUUCAGAUGUUCAGUGUAUAUUAUUUUGUCUACUGUGUCUUGCUGUGUCUACAUCUAAACCGUGGGACUUCAUGGUGGACACCGUCCGUGUCUGGCACCCACUGCCAGCACCUGCCUCUGCGGACGCCGGCCAUGGUGAACAGUCUUGCAUGUGGCCCCUCAUGGACCUGAGAAGGAUCUGUUGGAUCACAGGAGAUACGGACAUUUAUGGUGAAGAAGUACUGUCCACUGCUCCCCAGACUGCUGCCUAUGCUAGUCUACAGGUGCACGAGGUUUCCCACAGGCCUACGCGUGCACUCACACUUGGCAUGGAAAUGAGAAUAUUUGUACGGCACACCACGGUGAAAGAUAAGGAAAACAGGCCACGGAUUCUGACAACCUUGGGCCCUCCAGCCUCCCUGAGGCGGAAUGUCAGCUCACAUCACAAGGCAUUUCUCCGUGUCACAACACAGAUGAGGAAUGUCGGAGUGGGAUCCCCUCCCCACGGCAACUAUCCUCUGAAAAAAAUGACUCAAGUGGCAGGAUUGUGUGGAACGAGGGAGAGCUGCUGGUUCAGUGUCAUGGGGAAUCUCUUUUGUAAUCACUCUUCCACCAGAACAGAUGUUACUUCAGUGCUAACAUGGGAUUUAUGGUUUCUGGUAAACUGAAGAUCACCGGCUCAUGUUCUGGCUAAUUCUAUCCUUGCUGGAGUACAAGAACUCAGAAUAGCCACAACUGACAUGCUUGGAAUUUGAAGGAGGAGCAAGAGCCACAUGGAUUUGAACUUCAGGUGGAACACAAGUCUGACAAACUGCACGCACAGAGGAAAGAACUUCAGAUACAUCUUAAUACAUCUUUAUCCAAUCAAAGCAAAACAGUCAAUACAAAGAGAUUUCAAAUGUAAAGAGUCUUCAGUCAAGUUGUAGAGAUUAAGCAAAAUGUAUAAAAAGACCCCUCAAAAACUCAGGGCUUUGCUCUUGGAAUCAGAUGAGUUGCCCUGAAAGCAAGCUCCGAGGGGGGAUCCAGAGUGGGCUGGAAAUUUGGGGGAAAGAUUCAUGUGAGAUGUAGAGCCCAUUCCGGCUGCAAAGACUGGGUGAGAGACAAAGCCACUCCCACCUCCACAGGGGUUCCUAAAUAGUCACCACCCUACUCCUUUCAGUUGGAUGAUGAGUCAAACCAAAAUUGUCAUCAAAGCAGCUAAGCCU